Molecule: ribosomal RNA, 1482 nt
Filed under: Serratia marcescens
Lineage: Bacteria; Pseudomonadati; Pseudomonadota; Gammaproteobacteria; Enterobacterales; Yersiniaceae
Description: partial 23S ribosomal RNA
Rfam family: Bacterial large subunit ribosomal RNA
Source: RNAcentral
AACCGGCGAUACCCGAAUGGGGAAACCCAGUGUGUUUCGACACACUAUCAUGUCAUGAAUACAUAGUGGCAUGAGGCGAACCGGGGGAACUGAAACAUCUAAGUACCCCGAGGAAAAGAAAUCAACCGAGAUUCCCCCAGUAGCGGCGAGCGAACGGGGAGGAGCCCAGAACCUGAAUCGGCUUGUGUGUUAGUGGAAGCGUCUGGAAAGUCGCGCAGCAAAGGGUGAUAGCCCCGUACACUAAAAUGCACAGGUCGUGAGUUCGAUGAGUAGGGCGGGACACGUGACAUCCUGUCUGAAUAUGGGGGGACCAUCCUCCAAGGCUAAAUACUCCUGACUGACCGAUAGUGAACCAGUACCGUGAGGGAAAGGCGAAAAGAACCCCGGCGAGGGGAGUGAAAUAGAACCUGAAACCGUGUACGUACAAGCAGUGGGAGCACCUUCGUGGUGUGACUGCGUACCUUUUGUAUAAUGGGUCAGCGACUUAUAUUUUGUAGCAAGGUUAACCGUAUAGGGGAGCCGUAGGGAAACCGAGUCUUAACUGGGCGAAUAGUUGCAAGGUAUAGACCCGAAACCCGGUGAUCUAGCCAUGGGCAGGUUGAAGGUUGGGUAACACUAACUGGAGGACCGAACCGACUAAUGUUGAAAAAUUAGCGGAUGACUUGUGGCUGGGGGUGAAAGGCCAAUCAAACCGGGAGAUAGCUGGUUCUCCCCGAAAGCUAUUUAGGUAGCGCCUCGUGAACUCAUCUUCGGGGGUAGAGCACUGUUUCGGCUAGGGGGCCAUCCCGGCUUACCAAACCGAUGCAAACUCCGAAUACCGAAGAAUGUUAUCACGGGAGACACACGGCGGGUGCUAACGUCCGUCGUGAAGAGGGAAACAACCCAGACCGCCAGCUAAGGUCCCAAAGUCAUGGUUAAGUGGGAAACGAUGUGGGAAGGCACAGACAGCCAGGAUGUUGGCUUAGAAGCAGCCAUCAUUUAAAGAAAGCGUAAUAGCUCACUGGUCGAGUCGGCCUGCGCGGAAGAUGUAACGGGGCUAAACCAUGCACCGAAGCUGCGGCAGCGACGCUUAGGCGUUGUUGGGUAGGGGAGCGUUCUGUAAGCCGUUGAAGGUGGCCUGUGAGGGUUGCUGGAGGUAUCAGAAGUGCGAAUGCUGACAUAAGUAACGAUAAAGCGGGUGAAAAGCCCGCUCGCCGGAAGACCAAGGGUUCCUGUCCAACGUUAAUCGGGGCAGGGUGAGUCGACCCCUAAGGCGAGGCUGAAAAGCGUAGUCGAUGGGAAACAGGUUAAUAUUCCUGUACUUGGUGUUACUGCGAAGGGGGGACGGAGAAGGCUAGGCUGGCCGGGCGACGGUUGUCCCGGUUUAAGCGUGUAGGGGGUGUGACCUGGUAAAUCCGGUUGCAUACUAACCCUGAGGCGUGAUGACGAUGCACUACGGUGCAGAAGUAGUUGAUGCCCUGCUUCCAGGAAAAUCCUCUAAGC